Long non-coding RNA from Ixodes scapularis (black-legged tick), 304 nucleotides. RefSeq lists it as uncharacterized. Lineage: Eukaryota; Metazoa; Arthropoda; Arachnida; Ixodida; Ixodidae. The transcript has 3 exons. The record is from RefSeq and is a predicted model, not a curated record.
GGGGGCUCAGCUGUUGAUGUUCCUGAUGAAGCUCAGACACAACAUGGCCUUUCAAGACCUCGCUUACUGCUUUGAGGUCUCCCCUAGGGCGGCCUCUGAACUUGGAUACACAACAGGUUGUGUGGAGUAGCUACAAACAUAACUCUACUUUGAAGCAUCUAGUGGCAGUCAACCCCUAUGGAGCAGUCGUGUUUGUCUCGAGGGCAUGCGGAGGGAAGGUCUCCGACAAAGAGCUCACCAUUGCCAGCGAACUUUAGAGGCAUGUUCAGAUAUAACCCCGAAUCGCUGAAGACUGAAGCUGAGG